AGAGUUUGAUCCUGGCUCAGAUUGAACGCUGGCGGCAUGCCUUACACAUGCAAGUCGAACGGCAGCACGGAGCUUGCUCUGGUGGCGAGUGGCGAACGGGUGAGUAAUAUAUCGGAACGUACCCUAGAGUGGGGGAUAACGUAGCGAAAGUUACGCUAAUACCGCAUACGAUCUACGGAUGAAAGUGGGGGAUCGCAAGACCUCAUGCUCAUGGAGCGGCCGAUAUCUGAUUAGCUAGUUGGUAGGGUAAAAGCCUACCAAGGCAUCGAUCAGUAGCUGGUCUGAGAGGACGACCAGCCACACUGGAACUGAGACACGGUCCAGACUCCUACGGGAGGCAGCAGUGGGGAAUUUUGGACAAUGGGCGAAAGCCUGAUCCAGCAAUGCCGCGUGAGUGAAGAAGGCCUUCGGGUUGUAAAGCUCUUUUGUCAGGGAAGAAACGGUUGUCUCUAAUACAGAUGGCUAAUGACGGUACCUGAAGAAUAAGCACCGGCUAACUACGUGCCAGCAGCCGCGGUAAUACGUAGGGUGCAAGCGUUAAUCGGAAUUACUGGGCGUAAAGCGUGCGCAGGCGGUUAUGUAAGACAGAUGUGAAAUGCCCGGGCUUAACCUGGGAACUGCAUUUGUGACUGCAUGGCUAGAGUUUGGCAGAGGGGGGUAGAAUUCCACGUGUAGCAGUGAAAUGCGUAGAUAUGUGGAGGAACACCGAUGGCGAAGGCAGCCCCCUGGGUCAAGACUGACGCUCAUGCACGAAAGCGUGGGGAGCAAACAGGAUUAGAUACCCUGGUAGUCCACGCCCUAAACGAUGUCUACUAGUUGUCGGGUCUUAAUUGACUUGGUAACGCAGCUAACGCGUGAAGUAGACCGCCUGGGGAGUACGGUCGCAAGAUUAAAACUCAAAGGAAUUGACGGGGACCCGCACAAGCGGUGGAUGAUGUGGAUUAAUUCGAUGCAACGCGAAAAACCUUACCUACCCUUGACAUGGCUGGAAUCCCUGAGAGAUUGGGGAGUGCUCGAAAGAGAACCAGUACACAGGUGCUGCAUGGCUGUCGUCAGCUCGUG
RNAcentral lists this ribosomal RNA (1062 nucleotides) under uncultured Aquaspirillum sp. RNAcentral's name for it is "bacterial SSU rRNA". It matches the Rfam family "Bacterial small subunit ribosomal RNA", at positions 8 to 1064 of the family's 1533-position model. Lineage: Bacteria; Pseudomonadati; Pseudomonadota; Betaproteobacteria; Neisseriales; Aquaspirillaceae. The record is from RNAcentral.